GCCUCAGUUCGGAUUGCAGUCUGCAACUCGACUGCAUGAAGCUGGAAUCGCUAGUAAUCGCGAAUCAGAAUGUCGCGGUGAAUACGUUCCCGGGUCUUGUACACACCGCCCGUCACACCAUGGGAGUUGGAAGCGCCCGAAGUCUGUGACCUAACCGUAAGGGAGGAGCAGCCGAAGGUGAAGCCAGUGACUGGGGUGAAGUCGUAACAAGGUACC
This 216-nucleotide ribosomal RNA is filed under the name uncultured bacterium. Its description in RNAcentral is "partial 16S ribosomal RNA". It matches the Rfam family "Bacterial small subunit ribosomal RNA", at positions 1285 to 1500 of the family's 1533-position model. The record is from RNAcentral.